RNAcentral lists this ribosomal RNA (254 nucleotides) under uncultured bacterium. RNAcentral's name for it is "partial 16S ribosomal RNA". It matches the Rfam family "Bacterial small subunit ribosomal RNA", at positions 524 to 776 of the family's 1533-position model. The record is from RNAcentral.
UACGUAGGGGGGCAAGCGUUGUCCGGAUUUAUUGGGCGUAAAGAGCGUGUAGGCGGCCUGGUAGGUCAGCUGUGAAAACUCGAGGCUCAACCUCGAGACGCCGGUUGAAACCAUCAGGCUAGAGUCCGGAAGAGGAGAGUGGAAUUCCAGGUGUAGCGGUGAAAUGCGCAGAUAUCUGGAAGAACACCCGUGGCUAAGGCGGCUCUCUAGUACGGUACUGACGCUGAGACGCGAAAGCGUGGGGAGCGAACAGG